Molecule: ribosomal RNA, 1421 nt
Filed under: Paracymus subcupreus
Lineage: Eukaryota; Metazoa; Arthropoda; Insecta; Coleoptera; Hydrophilidae
Description: SSU rRNA
Rfam family: Eukaryotic small subunit ribosomal RNA
Source: RNAcentral
GAAGGCAGCAGGCGCGCAAAUUACCCACUCCCGGCACGGGGAGGUAGUGACGAAAAAUAACGAUACGGGACUCAUCCGAGGCCCCGUAAUCGGAAUGAGUACACUCUAAACCCUUUAACGAGGAUCAAUUGGAGGGCAAGUCUGGUGCCAGCAGCCGCGGUAAUUCCAGCUCCAAUAGCGUAUAUUAAAGUUGUUGCGGUUAAAAAGCUCGUAGUCGAAUCUGUGUCUCGCGCCGUCGGUUCAUCGCUCGCGGUGUUAACUGACGUGUCCGCGAGACGUCCUGCCGGUGGGCUUAGCUCCUCGUGGGCGGCCCAAUUUCAAUCCCACCGCGGUGCUCUUCACUGAGUGUCGAGGUGGGCCGGCACGUUUACUUUGAACAAAUUAGAGUGCUUAAAGCAGGCUAAAAUUUUGCCUGAAUACUGUGUGCAUGGAAUAAUGGAAUAGGACCUCGGUUCUAUUUUGUUGGUUUUCGGAACCCCGAGGUAAUGAUUAAUAGGAACGGAUGGGGGCAUUCGUAUUGCGACGUUAGAGGUGAAAUUCUUGGAUCGUCGCAAGACGGACAGAAGCGAAAGCAUUUGCCAAAAACGCUUUCAUUGAUCAAGAACGAAAGUUAGAGGUUCGAAGGCGAUCAGAUACCGCCCUAGUUCUAACCAUAAACGAUGCCAGCUAGCGAUCCGCCGACGUUCCUCCGAUGACUCGGCGGGCAGCUUCCGGGAAACCAAAGCUUUUGGGUUCCGGGGGAAGUAUGGUUGCAAAGCUGAAACUUAAAGGAAUUGACGGAAGGGCACCACCAGGAGUGGAGCCUGCGGCUUAAUUUGACUCAACACGGGAAACCUCACCAGGCCCGGACACCGGAAGGAUUGACAGAUUGAGAGCUCUUUCUUGAUUCGGUGGGUGGUGGUGCAUGGCCGUUCUUAGUUGGUGGAGCGAUUUGUCUGGUUAAUUCCGAUAACGAACGAGACUCUAGCCUGCUAACUAGGCGUAUUUUCGACAUCUCAAAGGCCCGCCUUCCCGGCGCUCUCGCGUCGUGGUCGCGCGCGGUUUUUACUGUCGGCGUACAUUCAAUUCUUCUUAGAGGGACAGGCGGCUUCUAGCCGCACGAGAUUGAGCAAUAACAGGUCUGUGAUGCCCUUAGAUGUUCUGGGCCGCACGCGCGCUACACUGAAGGAAUCAGCGUGUCCUCCCUGGCCGAGAGGCCCGGGUAACCCGCUGAACCUCCUUCGUGCUAGGGAUUGGGGCUUGCAAUUGUUCCCCAUGAACGAGGAAUUCCCAGUAAGCGCGAGUCAUAAGCUCGCGUUGAUUACGUCCCUGCCCUUUGUACACACCGCCCGUCGCUACUACCGAUUGAAUGAUUUAGUGAGGUUUCCGGACCGGUACGCGGUGGCGCUACGCGUCGCCGAUGUUGCUGGAAGAUGACCAAA